Molecule: ribosomal RNA, 421 nt
Filed under: uncultured bacterium
Lineage: Bacteria
Description: bacterial SSU rRNA
Rfam family: Bacterial small subunit ribosomal RNA
Source: RNAcentral
UAAGGAAUAUUGGUCAAUGGACGCAAGUCUGAACCAGCCAUGCCGCGUGAAGGAUGAAGGUCCUCUGGAUUGUAAACUUCUUUUAUCUGGGACGAAAACGGGAUUUUUAUCUCAAUUGACGGUACCAGAGGAAUAAGCACCGGCUAACUCCGUGCCAGCAGCCGCGGUAAUACGGAGGGUGCGAGCGUUAUCCGGAUCUACUGGGUUUAAAGGGUGCGUAGGUGGGCUUAUAAGUCAGUGGUGAAAUCUCCGAGCUUAACUUGGAAACUGCCGUUGAUACUAUAGGUCUUGAAUUAUCUGGAGGUAAGCGGAAUAUGUCAUGUAGCGGUGAAAUGCUUAGAUAUGACAUAGAACACCAAUUGCGAAGGCAGCUUACUACAUAUAAAUUGACGCUGAGGCACGAAAGCGUGGGGAUCAAACA